UUUCCGUAGGUGAACCUGCGGAAGGAUCAUUAUUGAAUAAACCUGGUGGGUUGUAGCUGGCUCCUUGGAGCAUGUGCACGCCUGCCAUCUUUAUCUAUCCACCUGUGCACUCUUUGUAGUCUUGGGAGAGAGGAAGAGGACCACGCCAUGUCGGGUAUUGCGCCCGGAAAUGAGGACUGCUGUGUGCACUGUGUACAGCUCUGCCUCUAUGUGUAUCAUCUUCUUCUCCCUGGGUCUAUGUGGUUUCAUUCACCCCUAUAGCAUGUCAUAGAAUGUAAUCAAUGGGCCUACGUGCCUAUAUAAAACAAUUAUACAACUUUCAGCAACGGAUCUCUUGGCUCUC
RNAcentral lists this unclassified non-coding RNA (343 nucleotides) under plant metagenome. RNAcentral's name for it is "partial contains small subunit ribosomal RNA, internal transcribed spacer 1, and 5.8S ribosomal RNA". The record is from RNAcentral.